GAUGAACGCUGGCGGCGUGCUUAACACAUGCAAGUCGAACGGAAAGGCUCCUGCUUGCAGGGGUACUCGAGUGGCGAACGGGUGAGUAACACGUGGGUGAUCUGCCCUGCACUUCGGGAUAAGCCUGGGAAACUGGGGCUAAUACCGGAUAGGACGAUGGUUUGGAUGCCAUUGUGGAAAGUUUUUUCGGUGUGGGAUGAGUUCGCGGCCUAUCAGCUUGUUGGUGGGGUAAUGGCCUACCAAAGCGUCGACGGGUAGCCGGCCUGAGAGGGUGUACGCCCACAUUGGGACGGAGAUACGAGCAUAACUGCUACGGGAGGCAGCAGUGGAGAAAAUAACACAAUGAGCGCGAGCGUGAUGCAGCGACGCCGCGUGGGGGAAGACGGCCUUCGGGUUGUAAACUCCUUUAGCGAGGGACGAAGCGUAAGUGACGGUACCUGGAGGAGAAUCACCGGCUAACUACGUG
Molecule: ribosomal RNA, 466 nt
Filed under: uncultured bacterium
Lineage: Bacteria
Description: partial 16S ribosomal RNA
Rfam family: Bacterial small subunit ribosomal RNA
Source: RNAcentral